AGUGAACGCUGGCGGUAGGCCUAACACAUGCAAGUCGAACGGCAGCACAGGAGAGCUUGCUCUCUGGGUGGCGAGUGGCGGACGGGUGAGGAAUACAUCGGAAUCUACUCCGUCGUGGGGGAUAACGUAGGGAAACUUACGCUAAUACCGCAUACGACCUACGGGUGAAAGCAGGGGACCUUCGGGCCUUGCGCGAUUGAAUGAGCCGAUGUCGGAUUAGCUAGUUGGCGGGGUAAAGGCCCACCAAGGCGACGAUCCGUAGCUGGUCUGAGAGGAUGAUCAGCCACACUGGAACUGAGGCACGGUCCAGACUCCUACGGGAGGCAGCAGUGGGGAAUAUUGGACAAUGGGCGCAAGCCUGAUCCAGCCAUACCGCGUGGGUGAAGAAGGCCUUCGGGUUGUAAAGCCCUUUUGUUGGGAAAGAAAUCCAGCUGGCUAAUACCCGGUUGGGAUAACGGUACCCAAAGAAUAAGCACCGGCUAACUUCGUGCCAGCCGCCGCCGUAA
Molecule: ribosomal RNA, 506 nt
Filed under: uncultured bacterium
Lineage: Bacteria
Description: partial 16S ribosomal RNA
Rfam family: Bacterial small subunit ribosomal RNA
Source: RNAcentral